This 307-nucleotide ribosomal RNA is filed under the name uncultured bacterium. RNAcentral describes it as "bacterial SSU rRNA". It matches the Rfam family "Bacterial small subunit ribosomal RNA", at positions 30 to 337 of the family's 1533-position model. The record is from RNAcentral.
AUUGAACGCUGGCGGAAUGCUUUACACAUGCAAGUCGAACGGUAGAGGGGGCAAUCCCUUGAGAGUGGCGAACGGGUGAGUAAUAUAUCGGAACGUGCCCAGUCGUGGGGGAUAACGUAGCGAAAGUUACGCUAAUACCGCAUACGAUCUACGGAUGAAAGCGGGGGGACUCGCAAGAGCCUCGCGCGAUUGGAGCGGCCGAUAUCAGAUUAGGUAGUUGGUGGGGGUAAAGGCUCACCAAGCCAACGAUCUGUAGCUGGUCUGAGAGGACGACCAGCCACACUGGAACUGAGACACGGUCCAGACU